CAAAGUGUAGUAUCUGUUCUUAUCAGCUUAAUAUCUGAUACGUUCCCCAUUGGGGAACUUCGAUAUUAAACUGAUUUUUGGUACUAGAUGAGAUGUCAGGGGCUUGCUCCGCUCUCGUCACGGGUUGGC
This 129-nucleotide small nuclear RNA is filed under the name Anadara trapezia (ark clam). Its description in RNAcentral is "partial U2 snRNA". It matches the Rfam family "U2 spliceosomal RNA", at positions 27 to 155 of the family's 192-position model. From Rfam's summary of the family: U2 is a small nuclear RNA (snRNA) component of the spliceosome (involved in pre-mRNA splicing). Lineage: Eukaryota; Metazoa; Mollusca; Bivalvia; Arcoida; Arcidae. The record is from RNAcentral.